Molecule: small nuclear RNA, 109 nt
Filed under: Chinchilla lanigera (long-tailed chinchilla)
Lineage: Eukaryota; Metazoa; Chordata; Mammalia; Rodentia; Chinchillidae
Source: RNAcentral
GUGCUCACUUCAGCAGCACAUCUACUAAAAAAUUGGAAUGAUACAGAGAAGAUUAGCAUGGCCCUUGUGCAAGGAUGACACACAAAUUCGUGAAGCAUUCUGUAUUUUU